ACUCCAUGAGUUGUGGCUAUAGAUUCCACUCACAAGGUCUUACCUCCCUCUCCUCCUUUGGGAAGGAUGUAGUCUGCACGGAAUGCCAUCACAGGAGAGCAGCGUCGGGAAGCAGGAGCAGUUCAGUGCAAAGAUGCAAAAUCAGUAAAUUACAUAAGUGAAAAGGAUUAAUGAAGUACUGCUAAUGGGUUCAUGGACUGUUCAGAAAUCUGAUGAUGGAGGGGAAGAAUCAUUGAACGCGGCUCCUCGGGCUCCCUGACGGAGGGAACAGGAGAGUGCAUAUCCUGGAUGCUGAUGGUUCUUUGAGUUGGAUAGCAGCUUCUUGAGAUGCCACCUUGUGGGGAGGCUGAGGCCGUAGAUCUCUGCAGCCUCUUGCAUUCCUGGGCACUGCAGACGCCACACCAAGCUGUGAUGCAACCAGACGUGAAAGUUCAAGAAUUCUGCGGCAAUGAAUUCUACAGUUUCACCUCCCUCUGGCUAAAGAAAUUGAAGUGAGCGAUAUGGAACAUGUCGCGUUAAAGACAACAAAAUAUUAUGAAGCAAUGUGAGCAGGUAACACUAAAUUACAAAUUUAGUGUCUGGACUCCCGAAGUCCAGACAGGCAGAGCGGAGCGACUAAGUAAAACUGAAUACCUCAUUGGCUGGAGUACAGACACAAAGAUUCAAAGUGCAUUUAUUAUCAACGAAUGUAUAAAUUAUACAACCUUGAGAUAUGUUUGCUUACAGGCAGUCACAAAGCAAGGAACCCAA
Long non-coding RNA from Hypanus sabinus (Atlantic stingray), 750 nucleotides. RefSeq lists it as uncharacterized. The record is from RefSeq and is a predicted model, not a curated record. The transcript is spliced from 3 exons. Lineage: Eukaryota; Metazoa; Chordata; Chondrichthyes; Myliobatiformes; Dasyatidae.